GAAUAUUGCAGAGAAUGAGUCUUCUUUGGUGGUCCAGCCACAUCAGUCCUUAUACUUCACAGGGUGAGUGAUAAAAACAUGAAGACCAGGUACGGUGGCUCACGCCUGUAAUCCCAGCACUUUGGGAGGAGUGAAGUGGAGGAAGAGGUACCUUGAAACUACAGAGGAGGAAACUGAGGCCCAGAGGGGAAAAGUGACUUGAUUGACAAAAAUUCGAUUCUGGUCUUUGUUCUGCCAAAGGCUGCCAGAACCUUUGCUUGUAGUGCAAGCACAACCAUAUUGCUGGAAGUGAAAUUUGCAGUCUGCUCUAUCAGAUGGUUUCUGCGCAUGGGCUGUUACUAUGUUCAAAGCAUUAAACUGCCUAGAAGUGGAUUAUUUACAGAGCUUCUCUCUUCCCAGAGCUGCUGAUAGGUGGCAAUUCAGCCUCUUCGCCCUAAUGCACACUUUCUCACUUUCCACCGAGACUCUUUGUUUGCUGACAGCAUCUGGCUAUCCUGGGUACUUGCCUCAGCUGGCUCAGUUCUCUCCAAUCCCUAGAAGAAACAGCCCUCACCUACAUGCCAGAGAUGAAAUAAGAUUUCAGCUCAAAGCUAGCAACCUUUCUCUGAAGUGGUGUCACACCCAGACAGAGAAAUAAAUGUGUUGUUUCUUCUUAGAUAAUGAGAAGUCAGUCUUUCAGGCAGACUUUUGACACAGGGAGGAUCAAGGUUUGACUACCUUUGAGUAAUCCUUGCAGAGAAAACAGCACCUAAUUGGACAUAGGAAGAAAGGAACCAGCUGCUACUGUCAUGAUUAUUUAAACACCCAUCCACAGUCAAAAACGCUGCAUUGUUUCAUUACAAGUGAAAUUUGAUUGCUGCUACAUUUCUUGCUGGCCUCCCGUCUAUGCAAAUUGGGGAGAAAGAAAUUCAUAAGGCACCAGAACCCAUUUGCCUUCUAAAUGUACUGUUUGCAUAUAGACAUCAGCAGCCUGAAUAAAUCCUAGUGAGAAAUGUCAAACCAACCUCACUGGCUAUUUUUCUAUUUUUCUCCCUGAAAAUAUCGUUUUUAACACGUUCACAAAGGCAAGCUAGAUUCUGUGUUAUCGAUGUUUUAGUAAAAGACGAGUGGGGUGGUGGGUCAGUAGUGGGCAUCAGACAUUAAUGAAAACCAUUUUGGGAGAGUUCAAUUUAUAAAAGAUUAAAAUAAUUCAUCAACUUGCAAAAAA
Cebus imitator (Panamanian white-faced capuchin) is the source of this 1207-nucleotide long non-coding RNA. RefSeq lists it as uncharacterized. The record is from RefSeq and is a predicted model, not a curated record. The transcript is spliced from 3 exons. NCBI's taxonomy places the organism in Eukaryota, Metazoa, Chordata, Mammalia, Primates, Cebidae.